This 3982-nucleotide long non-coding RNA is filed under the name Canis lupus familiaris (dog). RNAcentral's name for it is "lncRNA (ENSCAFG00845002821.1)". Lineage: Eukaryota; Metazoa; Chordata; Mammalia; Carnivora; Canidae. The record is from RNAcentral.
UUUCCUGUCUUCUCGUGGAUUAUUUGAAUACUUCCUCCGAGAUUUUGCUCUCAGCAGUUCAGCUUUUAGUAGUACCUACCUCUCCUCGGUCUAUUUGGGGUCCAUAUUGUACCACUUCACUUACAUUGUAGAAUCGGCCACUGCAUAGGCCACAGGUCCUUCAGACCCUUCCCACCAUUUGGCACCAUCGUGGUGACACGGCUUACAUCUCCACACAUCACAAAUCCCACAAGGUAGUGGCAUAACUUUUGCUUUCAAAAUCAUAUAGAUUGCAAAGAAAUCUAAGAGGCUAGAGAGUCCUUAGCAAUCUUUCACCACCGGGUUACCAUUUAUAGAAAGUACUCUUCGAUGCAGCCUGAAGUUCCAAGUUUCUCCUGGGAUAACAUCCCCCAAGGUUGAAGAACUUCCAUUAGCAUUUUGUAUAGUGUAUUUCUGCCAGUGACAAGAUCUCUUAGGCUUCUUUUAUCCGAAAAUACUUGUUUUAACUGGUUAUAGAAUUCUGGGGUUGACGGUUUCUCUUCAGCCUCUUGAUCCGUCUCUGAUCGCCAUCUUUACUGGAGAACUCCAGGAACACCUGAAUCACAGUCCCCCUGCUUGUAAUGUGUUGUUUUUAUCAGGCUGCUUUCAAGACUUUAAAAAAAUCUGUGCCUCUUUUUAGACUGGAUAAUUCCUACCAAUGUAUUUCCAGUGCAUGAAGUCUCUCAUCCCCAUUCUGCUAUUAGGUUUACCACUAAAAUUGCGGGUACUGUAUUUUCUGGGUUAGAAUAUCCAUUUUGUUCUUUAAUAUUUUCUAUUUCUCUGCCAAGAUUUCUCAUUUUUCAGCAUUACACAGGUAAUUUCCUUUUACCUGUUGUAGCAUAGUUAUAAUAAAUAGUUGCUUAAAAUCCUUGUCUAAUUCCAACACUUUUUUUUUUUUUUUUUUAAUGUAGGCUCCAGGGAUCCCGGGGUGGCGCAGCGGUUUGGCGCCUGCCUUUGGCCCAGGGCGCGAUCCGGGAGACCCUGGAUCGAAUCCCACGUCAGGCUCCCGGUGCAUGGAGCCUGCUUCUCCCUCUGCCUGUGUCUCUGUAUCUCUCUCUCUCUCUCUGUGACUAUCAUAAAUAAAUAAAAAUUAAAAAAAAAUAAUGUAGGCUCCACACCCAACACGGGGUUUGAACUCACGACCUUGCAAGAGUUGCAUGCUCUACCCACUGAGCCAACGAGGCACCCCCUAACAUUUGGGUUCUCUUGGUCAUCUUAUCUUUUCCCUUGAGAAUGAGUCACAUUUCCCUAAUUCUAUGUAUAUUAAUUAGGUAAUUUUGAACUGUGUCUGGAUAUUCUGUUAACAUUGUAGAACAUUCUGGAUUCUGUUAUAUUCCUCCAAAGGAUGUGAAAAGGUCUUAUUGUGGCGAUAUUUGUAUUUGCUAGACCCGACCAGCUGCAGUGGGUAACUGUAAAUCCAGAUCUCUUCAGUCCUGCUUUGAGUUGGCCCCACACAUCCAUAGCGUCCUGGUCAGCAAGAGACUUGGGCUGAAUUUAUAGAUGUAACUUGGGGGAAGGAACUUCCCUAGCACUCUCCUUUCAGAUCAUUGUGGUUACUCUCCCUAUAAAUAUUUAAUAUUAUUAAUUAAUUAAUUAUUAAUGUAUUAUUAAUUUAAUAUUAUAUUUAAUAUUUAUUUUAUACUAAACUAUUCUUCAGGCCAGUAAGACAGUUGGGUUUAGCUGCCUGGUGCAGUGUCAGUGGCUGCAGCCUGCUCUCCAGCUAAUACUGCAGAAAAACGAACACAUACCAGAAAACUCAUACUGAGGUGGGCUUUUCCUGCAACUUUCAACUCACUCCCUAUACCAAAUCCACCUGCUUUUGAUCAACUCUCCAAAGCCUCCCAGUAGCUUUUAUUUUCAGUAUUUCGUCUAGAAUAUAUUGUUUACUUGUGGGGGUGGGGCGGUUGUCUGGUAGAAGUUUACUCCACCACACCAGAAACAGAACUUCUGUAUUUUCUUUUUAAUAGACCUAAACCUAUUAUUUUUUUAGGAUUCAAACUGGGAAUCCUACACCCCACUAUCCAGGUCAUAUGCAAAGUGUCAGAGACCCAGGUACAAAGUCAGAAUGGCCAUAUCUUAUUAGCAAAGUCCAAAGGGCUCCUAAUAAAACAUGAGAAGGAUCAGUAGUUCCAGGAGGAAAGGAAACAUCUAAAGUUAUCCCUGUGGCCUUCUCUCUUAGAACCAAGGUGCUGGGUGGUCCCACGACUUGGCAGAGGCUCAGAGCACUUGGCAAAUGAGGUCCAGAGCUGAAUCUCUGCCACUGGCACACUAUGCCCCCCUCUAGCAAGCUAAUCCCCAACUUGAACCAGCACUCCUCACCCACCCUGCAAUGGUUGCUUCCUGAAGCAAGAUUUAUUUUUCAUUGUUUAUGUUGUUUUUUCCUUCCUUAAAAACUAUGACUGUGUGUCUUUGUAAACCUUUCAGUUCUGCACUACACACACCUAUUAUCUAUCCAAACAACAAAUGACAUUGUAAAAAUGCUACCACGCUAGUCUUUUGGAAGGAAUCAACAUCUCAAAUGCAUUUAUAUACUCUAUAACCGUGGCAUCGGGCUUUGGGGAGUCUUUCUCAAGCAUGUGCAAAGGAAACCAGCUCCAUGUCACUCAACAGCAGACUGAUUAAAUAGCUUAUGGUUCAUCUGUGGUUUUGGAAUUCAAUGCACAAUGCACUGACAAGGAUCUCUAAGACAUUGUGGGGAAAAAAAGCAUGUUGCAGAAAAAGUUACACAUAAUAGCAGCUAACAGGGAGCAACUUCUACUCAAAAGAAUGUAUUCAUUCAUUCAAUUCCCACAUGAUCAGAGGAAUGUACUAUUACCCCAUUUUACACAUGGGGCAACGGAGGCACAAAAGGUCACUUGCCCAAGGUCACAGAGCUAAGUAGUAGAGUCUGGGUCUAAAUCUGACAGUCUGGAAAGAUUCACUGUCAAAGGCUGCCAAGAGUGACCUCUGGGAGGUAUAUAUGAAAGUGGAUACUGCUAAUAUAUCCAAAAAGCAUCUCACAUUUCUCUCCAAAAUCCUGAAUUUAUCUGUGAAGUCAGCUGCUCCUGCUAUAUGGCCAACCUUGAGCUGCCAGGCCUAUGAGGCAGUAGGGAGGAAUCUUUUCACCCAUGUAUAUGUAUAUUGCUUCAAUUAUGUUACUACAAGCUUAAAAUCAAAAUCUGCCUGCCCUUCUGGAUCCAGCUGAAGGCCCUCCCUGAACACCUGGGGCUGCCAGAUUGUUUUCAGUGGCGACUGGGUCUCAGGACCUUGUGGAGGCAAAGCCCCAGUCACUAACAAGUAGUGGUACCACUAAAUAAAUGUCCUCUAAGCACCUUGUGUAAAAGCCUUCCCAUCAGCCCCCAUUUUGCCCAUACUUGUUAGGUCAGACUGUACCUUCAUUUACAGUAUGAACAUGACAACAGCAUCGAUCCCCAUGGGGGAGCUGUGAGGAUUCAAACAAUUUAGUUAAUGUGCAAGUAUUUUUCAAGGUACUACGCAGGUAGUGUGAGCAUGUUGGCUAUUAAACACUUUUGACUUGCCAACUCCAACCUAAGCCUCCAUUUUCUCAUCUGCAAAGGGCAAAUAGGACAUACCUCAAUAGAUAAACAUUUGUAUUUACCAAAAAAUAUGCAAGAAACUGAUAAAAAAGGGUCUCUGCUGUAAAGGGAAACCACAGAAUAAAGGUUUCCGAUGGGACUGAGAGCUUUUUAUUGUCAUUUUUUACCUUUGCUUUUUUUUUUUUUUUUUGGUAGCACCUGUUCCACUAGAAUGUUCUGAGGCUUCAACUUAACAGUUUGGCUACUACACAUACCACAGACAACAGAAGUGGGGUAUGGAGUGGAAGAAACCUGGCAGCCCCAAAGACAGCCCACUUCCUUUCAUUUAGUAACUCUAGCAUCCCAAAAGUAUUUGUUACCUUCACAGAUUAGAUCUCUUUCCCAAGUAGCUACAUUAUCUCCUGGAGGUAUUAGAAACCACAGGAUGA